GAAAGGCUUGACAGUGUGUAGAAUCCGGGACGAGCGCAACCAUGGCCUGCCUCAAUCCUACUUUCUUAGGUCACCUGAGGAGAGCAGCUGCAUGUUGGAGGACCCUCGAGCAGCCCUGUGGAGAAGGCCGUGUUGGGAAUACAGUGAGGUCUCCUGUCAGCAGCUCUGAAGCACGCCUUGGAGGCCAGGAAAAGGAUUCAGAUUACUUGGAACCAGAGUUACAGACACCUGAGAGCCACCAUGUGAGUGCUGGGAAUCAAACUCUGGUCCUCUGGAAGAGAAGCCUGUGUUCUUAACUGCUGAGCCAUCUCUCUGGUCCCCUAAGGUCUCUGUUUUAAUGGCUUAAGUUCAGUAAUGUCCUCAAAAUCUCCCUUGCUAUCUGAUGGUAGCUUAUUAAAGGCUUCCAGAAUUUGGGUGGAGACAUCUUUGAGAACAGGAUGCAGAGGAAAGCACACAAUAUUGUGCUCGCAGAGUAACGGUAUUCUCCGUAUAAUAAAGUAUAUAGCCGAAUGCUGGGUACAUAGGAUGCACUCUAGAAGUGUUACCACUGCCAUUUUGGUCCCACUGGCCAGUGCCUGGCACUGUGCUGGACAUUAAAGGUGUCACAGUGAUGGAAACACAGCUGCCUGCCUUGUAUGGCUUGGCUGAUCUUUUCAACGUGACAUUCAGAAUCUCAAAGUUACACCCAUGCUGUGCUCAACUCCACUCCACAGAUGCUUGGCCAGGCUUCAGUUGGCUUUCCUCAGGUAGCAAACCACCUCAUAGUUCACUGACAGCAGCUCACAGCUGUUUCCUAUUUGGAUCUUGGUUUGCCCAUUUCUCCCUUCUAUGGAUCCAAAGCUUGAAGCUUUCUCAAGUGACAUCCCCAGGGCAGGGACGCUGGCUGGCUUCUUUCUGCAGAGCUGUGAUUUAAUGUCUUGCUAUGGGCUCCUGUCAGAGGUCAAAAUACAGAGCCUUCAAAGAGUGCUUCUGCACCCCUGUAAAACAGCAGCGAAGGAUGGCAUCUGUUUCCUCCUGUGUGGUCCUUUCUGAGUGAAUUUGGUUUCCAUGGUGCCCGGGCGCAUUUCCUGUCGGGAGGCUGACUGUGGGUGACUUUAUUCCUUCUUGCCUCUGCUGCGGGGAAGCUUCACCCCAUAAAUGCGACUUCCUUUAGCCAGUUUUACUCACUUUCCUUGAUGCUGUGAUGAGAUGCCUGAUAAGGAGCAAAUUAAGGGCGGGAAAAGACCAGCGUGGCUCACAGUUUGACUAUACAGUCCAUCAUGGGGGAAUAUCACGGGAUAGAAGAGGUUGCUGGUCACAUUGCAUCCAAAGACAGGAAACAGAGAGAUGGAUGCUGGACCUUUCUCCUUUUUAUUCACCCAGCCUCUGGAUGGUACCACCAACAUUCAAAAUAGGCCUUCCCUCCUCAGUUAGGUCUUAUUGUGCGAACAAUCAAAAUUAACUACCACAUCAAUCAUGUAUCAUGUUGAAUAAUGUCCCCUCUACUAUCUUGCUGAGAUCAGACACAUGGACAACAUCCUAGAAUGUUCUACCUCCUCGCACUUGCCAAAUAGAUUUACCCUUGAAAUAUGAGGCGUUGGCAUGCUGAGUAUUUUGCACUAGGCCCUUGAGGAUGCAGAUACAGAUAGAGGCGCACCCUGGAUUCCUCAGUCUCUCCAAAAAAGUAUGUUCCAGAAGGAAUUCAGGUUCCACAAAUCUCCCGAGGAACUUCACAGCCCAGGGGGCUUCUCUUGACCAUGCUUGUGGUGAUUUGAAUGAAAAUGGCCUUAAUAAAUGCAUGUUUGAAUACUCGGUCCCAAGUUGGUAGAACUGUUUGGGAAGAAUUAGGGGCUGCACCCUUGUUGGAGGAGGUAUGGAGGGCUUUGUUGGAGGAAGUGUGGUUCUGUUGGAGGAGGUGUGAUCUUAUUGGAGGAGGUAUGGUCUUGUUGGAAGAGGUGUGGCCUUUUUGGAGGAGAUGUGGUCCUAUUGGAGGAGGUGUGGUCCUGUUGGAGGAGGUGUGGUCUUGGAGGAGGUAUGGUCUUAUUGGAGGAGGUGUGGUCUUAUUGGAGGAGGUAUGGUCUUGUUGGAGGAGGUGUGGUCCUGUUGGAGGAGGUGUGGUCUUAUUGGAGGAGGUGUGGUCUUGUUGGAGGAGGUGUGGUCCUAUUGGAGGAGGUGUGGUCUUAUUGGAGGAGGUGUGGUCUUGUUGGAGGAGGUGUGGUCCUGUUGGAGGAGGUGUGGUCUUGGAGGAGGUGUGGUCUUGUUGGGGGAGGUGUGGUCCUGUUGGAGGAGGUGUGGUCUUGGAGGAGGUGUGGUUUUGUUGGAGGAGGUGUGGUCUUGUUGGAGGAGGUAUGGCCUUUUUGGAGGAGAUUUGGUCUUAUUGGAAGAUGUGUCAGGCUUUAACGUUUCAAAAGACUAGUGGGAAUCCACUGUGCCUCUCUCUGUCAUCUACUUCCUGUUAGAGUUGUGAGUUCUCCGCUGUUCCUGCCACCAUGCCUUCACUCUGCCAUCAUGGACUCCAACCCUCUGAAACCAUAAACCCAAUUAAAUACUUUCUAAAUUGCCUUGGUCAUGGCGUUUUGUCACAGCAUAUAAAAGUAACUAAAACAACAGGAGAGAAGACUGGAGUCAUACCUUUAAUUAGUGACUUCCUGGCCAAAUAAGAGACCCUGUCUAAAAUCCCAAGGUGAAUGACUCCUGAGGAAUAAUGCCCAUGGUUGACUUCUGGCCCCUACACACACAUGAAGGCACACACAGGACACACAACAAUGAGGAGGACCUUAUUAAUGAGAUCAUAUUUGCAGUAAGACUUUGAGGAGAUGGAAGUCAGCUAUUCAGGUAUCAGAAUAAGGAGAACUGAGAGAGGACAGAACUGGAGUUACCCAGCUGGGACGACACGCCAGAAGCAGUAGGAGAAGCAGCAAGAAGAAAGGGCUUGUUCAUUGUUAGCCGAGGGUGGGGGUGGGGGUGUCUUUUUUUUUUCAGUGCUGAGAAUUGAACCAAAGUCUUACACAUGCCAAGCUACACCCCCAGCACUUCUCUUUGUUUUGUCACUUGUUUGUUUGUUUGUUUGUUUGUUUUUGAGGCAAGUUCUUACUACAUAGGACAGGACAGGCUGCAACUGGAGCCUCUCAUGCACUUAUCUUGAAAAUGCUGGGGUUACAUGCAUGCAUGCCCACGCCUAUUUGAGGCAGAGUUUUGAGUGUAGAGACAAACAGUGCAGUCUGACCAGCAAGCACAUGCUUGUUACCGAAUGAGAAUGGCAAACAGAGGACACUCCAAACAGGUGACUUUCCAAGUGCUCAGCAGUGUGUCUGUCUGCAGACAGGCAAGCCCCCCCCCCCCCCCCGGAAAUACAAGAUGCAGGCUCACUGCAGUCCCAAGAAGGCACAGCAGGGGCCUUUAGGUAGCAGAAAGGGGCUCCCACAUGCAUUUUAAUGUGCACAGCGCCUGGCAUUGAGUUGAGUUUGCGGAAAGGAAAACUCCUGGGACAACAGGAGAAAGGGAGACAGCUGUCUCCCUCUUGAGGCUUCAUAGUGAUCAUUGGUACACUGUGUGGUAAUGGCGUCACCUGAGGUCAGCUGCCAGGAAAGACUGCACUAGUGCCAAGGCCCAUUCUCCCCACAGAAUAGUCAGCUCCACUCUGAGGCUCAAAUUAAGCUCUGAAUCCCAUGUUUAGGUGCUCGAGCUGAAAGUAACAGGGAGAUGCUGCAGUGCUCCAUCUCAAGAAGCAGCUACCUGGGAGUCGGUCUUCUAGCAGCCUCCAAAUGAAGAGGUUGAACUCUCAGCUCCUCCUGCACCAUGCCUGCCUGGAUGCAGCCAUGCUCCCACCUUCAUGAUAAUGGACUGAACCUCUGACCCUGUAAGCCAGCCCCAAUUAAAUGUCGUCCUUAAAUGAGAGUUGCCUUGGUCGUGGUGGCUGUUCGCAGCUGUAAAACCCUAGGACAGGGGCCCUAGUUAGAAUCCUAGUGUUUGGGAGGCAGAGACAAAAAGGUGUCUGAAGUCUUAGGCUACUUUGGUAAACUUCAGGCCAUUGAGAGGCCCUGCCUCAAAAACGAUGUGGAUGAUACCUGAGGAACAACACCCAGACUUUCCCUAUGAUCUCCACAUGCAUGAACACAUGGCUGCUCAUUUACCCUCACAUAUGUGUGCAACUGCACACACACAUAUAUGUACACAUGCAUGCACAUGCACACAAGAGUUGGGGGUGGUGACCUGCAGUUGGUAGACCCUGCCACCAGACUUAUGGCGUGAGUUCAAUUCCUUGAACCUACAUAAAGGAAGGAGAGAGCCAAGUUCUGCCAAGGUGCCCUCUGACCUCACUUACGUGCUAUGGCAUGGGUGUGUCCACAUAGUAUACACAAAAUAAACGAGAAAAGUAAAACACAAAUAGUUUUUUAAAAAAGGAAAAACGGGGAGAGGGGCUGGUAUGGACCUGGCCUCACUGAGGGUUUGGUGUGGCUGCAGUUGGAGAUAACAUGCUGAGCAGGACCAAUGUCUCCAUGACCCAUGCAUUAGAGGAAGCAGUCUACCCCAGGUUCUGCAGAAUCACAGGCAGUCUGUCGAGUUCAUCUCUUGAAGAAUGAUGAAGACCCACGUUCUGGAAGAGAAAGGGGUGGGGACAGGGCAAAGCAAGUGAGGCGAUGGGCAUGGUCGGCACCCAAAAGACAGGUGGAGCUUGGAACCUGAGUGGCCUGAAUAUGGAGAAGGAUGUUAGGGAACAUUGUCUCCUUGACAGGAUAGGAGAUGAGGCUCUGGGUCUGUCAGGAAGUCUGUAGAUUAGAAACCUUAUUUUGAGGUAGCUCCAUGCCAUGGGCAGGGUUUGCUCUGAGUAAGGAGAAAGCUAGCUGAGCGCCAGCAUGCCCCCCCUCUCUGGUUCCUGCCUGCAGAUGCAAUGCAGGCAGCAGCCUCGUGCUCUUUCUGGUCCACCUAUCCUAGUUAGGAUGGGCAGGACCCAUGAACCAUGAGGCAGAAUAAACCCUUCCUUCCUUCAGCUGAUUUUGUUCUGCUGUUUAUCACAGCAACAAGAAAGGCAACUUAACGAAAAGGACUGUGGUGACCUCAUGUGUGCCCUUGGCUGCUGGAGAGGGCCAUGGCUGCUAAGUGGCAGCAUUUCCUCCUGUUGUUCAUGGUUCAGCAUGGCACUUCCUGUUGUUCCUCCCAUCCAAGCUAGACCACAUUAUGGAGUGAAAUAGGUCAGGGACGAUGCCCACUCAGGCUUUGCAAGUAUAGAGGAGUGGUGGUCCUGGAUGGAUUAGAUAUGAGAGCAGUUUCUGAAGCCUGGUGGGACUCAGCCCUGCCCAGGGUCACACAGGGUCACACAGAUGACCAUUCCUGGUCAUUCCCAACUGAGCUCCCCAGUCACUCAGUCUGUGAACCAGGAAUAGGCCUACCUUGUCAGCCCUAGUCUUGGGCGACUGACGUGUACAGACACCUUUCAAAGUUGGGCAAGCUCUGUGGAAUUAGAAUUGGAAUCAAUGUUCCUGUCUUGAGUGGGAGUGACCAUAACUGUUUGAAUAAUAAAUUAUAAAUGGGGCUAAUUAGUAAAAUAACCUCCACAGAGGGAAAAAAAAAAGCAGAGAUAAGAAUCUGAAAGGCAUUUAAUACAGAAGAGUUCUAGUCUCUGGAUCCUGGCUGAGCAGGGACCAGCUCCUCUGGCAAAGGGAGAUAAGAAUCUCAGAGUGGCCCACAAGCUAAAUGGAAAUCAAUAACUUUGUCUCUAAAAAUAAAGAAGUUACUGGGAUACAUAAACAGAAGCCUAGUGUUUCUAGAGCAUGAGGUCAUCCAUCAGCCUGGGCCGGAAAGCUCUGAGCCUCGGGUCCCAAUGGAGAGGGAAGACAUGUCCUUGGAAUUAAGCCUGUCACGGGGUUGAGGCGAGAAGGGGGAAUGGUGGAUGACAACCCUCAACCCAUUUUGCAGAUGGGGAUACUGAGGCCAUUGUUAACUCAAUAAUGACUUAACAACCAUGAGUCUUUGAGAGGCAGAGUGCGGAGACCAUGCACAGGACAUUGCAUUGGUUGUACCAAGGUCUAUUCACAGUCAUGAUGACGAGAAUUUCUGGUUAGGGGCUGUGCGGGUGGCUUAGUCAGCAAGGGUCUGAAGCACAAGCACAAGAACCUGGUGGGACUAAGAGGGUCUGUAGUCUCAGUGCUGUGGGUGCAGAGACCAGGCAUCCCUGGGGCUUGUGGGCCAGCUGGUUAUAGAAAAUCAAUGAGCGGAAGGUUCAGUAGGAAGAGGUCCUGUGUCAAAAAUUAAGGUGAAGAGUGGCUGAGAAAGACACUGAUAUCAACCUUGGGCUCCACAUUCACACAUGCGUGUGAAUGAACAUGUACAGACACACACCAUAGCACACACCAGUAAGUUAAAAAAAAUCAGAAAAUGCCCAUUAAGACAUUUUACAGUGCCUGUAAGCACACAGCAGUCUCUCUCACUGUCUGAUACUUCAUCUCCAUAAAUACACAUUUCUGUGGGUAAAUUUUUGUGAGUCUAAACUUCAACGUCAGUACAGAGUGUGGCAGGAGAAUCACUGAAAGUCUGAGGCCAACCUGGUCUACAAAAUGAGACCCUGCCUCAGAACAAAACCGAGCCAAGCAGAAGAUGGGGACUUCUCUUCCUAUUCCACAGGGCGUUUGGUAUCUAAGGCUUUCGGGCCAUUUUAGUCUUUAAUACUUUUACUCUAUCUUGGGUACAUGUGGUGCUGCUAUAACAAAAAAACCCAAAGCUGGUAAUUUAUAAACGAUGAGAUGUAUUUCUUCCAAGAUAGAAACCCAGCAAGUUUAGUGUCUGGUGAAGGCAGUUUUGUAUCUAAGAUGGUGACCAAAGGCUGCAUCCUCCAGGAGGGAGGACUUGGUAUAUUACAUGGCAAAAUCAGAAUUAAACAAGGGUCAAGGCCGCUUUGUAGGGGUGAGGGCAGAGCCAAGGGUCUCCAUUCUCAGUAGUGUCACAUGUAGGCUGAAAUUUCAAGCCAAAAAUGUGGAGAGAACAAAGACAAAUAAAACAUCAUCAUCAUCACCACCACCACCACCACCACCACCACCACCACCACCAUCAUCAUCAUCAUCAUCAUCAUCAUCAUCAUCAUCAUUAUUCGAAUCUUCUCUCCUGUGAGCAGACACAGCCCUAUGACUUUGAACCUAGCCCUCCAUCCCCACAUUCCCAGUCUGUAAACUCUAAGGCCUGACAGGGUUGGGGUUCAGGGUCAGGAGUAAUGUGACCUUAUGCCUGUGUCUUAUCAGGAGACUUGUGAUGCGUGUUGUAUGAAUCCCCCGUACUCACUGUAGCACUGAAAACCAAACGGCUCACGGCUGUGCACAUAGCCAGAGAGCAGCUCAGCUGUCCACUCCCAGCUUUGGGUUUACUCUGGGGAGGGGAAUUGAGAACAAGGAGGCUGGGCUGUGCGGGGGAAGGGCGUCUGGGAAUCUGUACGCUUUGGAUUCAGUUUUGCAGGGAAUGCAAAAUUGGUUCUAAAACUUAAAAAAAAUCUAUUUUUAAAAAGUUAAACAAGAGCUUUUAAUGAUUCAGGAAUGGGAAAGGUGGCGGGGAAUGAGAGAUGGGAUAGGGAUGGUGGCAGAUGGCCGUCGAAGCUGGGCUCUGACUAAAUGGAGCCUUGCUACUAUUAUCUCUUGAAAUAAAUACAUGUGGAAGUCCCUGCA
This is a non-coding RNA of Rattus norvegicus (Norway rat), 7628 nucleotides long. Lineage: Eukaryota; Metazoa; Chordata; Mammalia; Rodentia; Muridae. The record is from RefSeq and is a predicted model, not a curated record.